GGCGGACGGGUGAGUAAUGCUUGGGAACUUGCCUUUGCGAGGGGGAUAACUAUUGGAAACGAUGGCUAAUACCGCAUAAUGUUUUCGAACCAAAGUGGGCUUAGGCUCACGCGCAAAGAGAGGCCCAAGUGAGAUUAGCUAGUUGGUAAGGUAAAGGCUUACCAAGGCGACGAUCUCUAGCUGUUCUGAGAGGAAGAUCAGCCACACUGGGACUGAGACACGGCCCAGACUCCUACGGGAGGCAGCAGUGGGGAAUAUUGCACAAUGGGGGGAACCCUGAUGCAGCCAUGCCGCGUGUGUGAAGAAGGCCUUCGGGUUGUAAAGCACUUUCAGUGGUGAGGAAAAGUUAGUAGUUAAUACCUGCUAGCCGUGACGUUAACCACAGAAGAAGCACCGGCUAACUCCGUGCCAGCAGCCGCGGUAAUACGGAGGGUGCGAGCGUUAAUCGGAAUUACUGGGCGUAAAGCGCACGCAGGCGGUUUGUUAAGCUAGAUGUGAAAGCCCCGCGCUUAACGUGGGAUGGUCAUUUAGAACUGGCAGACUAGAGUCUUGGAGAGGGGAGUGGAAUUUCUGGUGUAGCGGUGAAAUGCGUAGAGAUCAGAAGGAACAUCAAUGGCGAAGGCAGCUCUCUGGCCAAAGACUGACGCUCAUGUGCGAAAGUGUGGGUAGCGAACAGGGAUUUAGAUACCCUGGUAGUCCACACCGUAAACGCUGUCUACUAGCUGUAUGUGUAUUUAAUACGUGUGUAGCG
RNAcentral lists this ribosomal RNA (751 nucleotides) under uncultured bacterium. RNAcentral describes it as "bacterial SSU rRNA". It matches the Rfam family "Bacterial small subunit ribosomal RNA", at positions 97 to 848 of the family's 1533-position model. The record is from RNAcentral.